This 931-nucleotide long non-coding RNA is filed under the name Rhinopithecus bieti (black snub-nosed monkey). Its description in RNAcentral is "lncRNA (ENSRBIG00000046260.1)". The record is from RNAcentral. Lineage: Eukaryota; Metazoa; Chordata; Mammalia; Primates; Cercopithecidae.
GCAAUUUGGAGGGAAGAGUUUGACCUGAAGACGUUUCGCCUGCUACCUGUUUUAGGGUUUAAAGUGAAAUGCAGCCUUUAUGCCACCCCUCCAGCCUGCCCUGGAAAGGACAUGAAAGUGAAGAGAGAUGAAGUAACUCACUGAAGAGCACACACAUUGAGAGCCCAGGUUAACUCCAAAGUGUAUUUCCUUCACAGAUCGGAUCAUGAAUUAUCUCCCAACGUGAGAAGGUCUUAUUCUCCACAGUUUACUGUUGAGGGGACUGAGGUGCAGAAAGACCAAGGUGUAUGCAGCCCAGUCGCCUCUGAUCCCACUCCACUGCAUUGCUGUCUUUUGUAUGCAGCAGGAAGGACACUUCCUGUAAAAAUGGAAAAAAAAAAAAAAAAAAAAAAAAAAAAAAGCCUCAAGUUGUUUGAGAGAGGGUCAGGAAGAAAACGGGAAGAGCCAGUAGACUGCAGGUGCUUUCAAAGGGCUCCCUGUCUUUGACAUCCCUAAAAUAAAAACUUGUUAGUUAGGAGAUUGGCCACAGAAAUCCAGGUGGAAAACCUGCAGAAGAGUGGGUUCCACAAUUCUUCCAAACAGAACAAAAAAACCCCAAGACUUGUUAAUUUUUACCAGUGGAGGGGAAGAGGUUACAGGAGUGGCCUUGCUCCCAGGGUUGGCCUUGCUGAGCAGGUAACAAUACCACACAUAUAAAGGUUUUAAGGUUUGUCCUCAGGUGAAAAGGUAGUCAAUACUUUACAUUUUGAAGAUAGUUUUUAAAAUCACCUACUCCAUCAGUAGUAAUACAACAAUAACUACCAUUUACACACCACCGCACAUAUCGGAGCUGUGUAAAGAGCUUUACACUGCACCAUCUCAAUUAAUUCUCACAACUCUAUGAAGUAGGUUUUAUUAUUCUGAAUUUAUAGACGUGUUAACUGUGGCCCAG